RNAcentral lists this ribosomal RNA (1260 nucleotides) under Triticum aestivum (bread wheat). Its description in RNAcentral is "partial small subunit ribosomal RNA". The record is from RNAcentral. Lineage: Eukaryota; Viridiplantae; Streptophyta; Magnoliopsida; Poales; Poaceae.
AUGGCGGCGGGAGAUCGCCGGGCUCUGUGUCUGGUCGCCGGCGCGAUUCUCCUCUGCUCGUGCUUUGCUCGGGUGCGGUGCGGCGACGAGCAGGAGCAGCAGGAGCAGGAGAUUCAGAGGCUCAGGUCCAAGGUCGCGUCCCUAGAGGACGAGGUCGGCUGGAGGAAGGAGGAGACCUCGCAGCUGGAGAGCGUCGUCAGGGAGAGGACGGCGCAGAUCGCGGCGUUGGUCGGCGGACUAGAGGCUAUGCAGGUGAGGAAUGUGGCUGACGAUGAAUCCGUGGUGAAGGCGAGCACCAACAGUGCGAUGAUCGAGAAGCAGAUUGAGAGGCUGGGCAGUGAUUUGGAAGAUCAGGUUAAGAAAGGGGAGUUAUUAGAAGCCCGGGCCAGCGAGGCAGAGAAAAGCCUGCUUGAGCUCGGUCAGAAGUUGGACCGUGUUGAGAAGAUCAACGCUGAGCAGAGGAAGAAAAUUGAGGAGCUGGAGCAAGAUCUUGAGCAUUCAAAAGACAAAGUCUCUGAAGUGCAAAGACGAGCAAAAUUGAAGGCUGAAGAGUUGGCAAAUGUUCAUGGCAUGUGGCUUCCGUAUUGGUUCGCAUCACGCUCUGUACAUUGCCAGGAACUAGCAUCUGCCAAAUGGCAUCUCCACGGGAAGCCUGUGCUUGAUGCUCUGAUGGAGAAGGUUGCUGAGACGUUGGCACAUGCACAAAGACUAGUGGAACCACACUUGCAGGCAACAAAAAAUAAACUGUUGCCUGUUGCCAAAUUUCAUUUCAACUCACUGAAGAACAGCACUAAGCCGGUAGCUGCCAGGAUCGUCACAGCCUACAGAGCUCGCAAGGAUGCCAUCCAGCCAUGUGUGGCCAAGGCUCAAGAGUUUGCAGAUCACUACUGGCAGGAAUGCAGGAAGUUCUCGGAGACACACGUCGCACGGAUCGCGGCAGCGUCUGAACCUCACCUUUCGGCUAUUGAACCUUACACGAGGCCUGUCAAGUCUGUUUGGAGACAGCUCGUUAUGGCGACGAGCUUCUACCAUAGUCAGGUUCAGAAAGGAAUCAGUGGCUUCCUGGAGGAGAGCGAGCUGCUGGACCCACUUUCAGCUCAUAGAUUGGCGUGGUGGAUGGCGUCCGCCAUGUUCGCGCUGCCGAUGUUGUACACCUACAAGAUAUUCUCGGCUACAGUCCGCAAAAAAAUUCAGGCGAGAGCGGACAGAGGUGGAGGCACAUCUUCGAGCCGCAAGCACGCGCGCAGGGUCGAGGAGUAG